RNAcentral lists this ribosomal RNA (253 nucleotides) under uncultured bacterium. RNAcentral describes it as "partial 16S ribosomal RNA". It matches the Rfam family "Bacterial small subunit ribosomal RNA", at positions 524 to 776 of the family's 1533-position model. The record is from RNAcentral.
GACAGAGGGUGCAAACGUUGUUCGGAAUUACUGGGCGUAAAGCGUGUGUAGGCGGCCUUGCAAGUCGGAUGUGGAAGCCCCGGGCUCAACCCGGGAAGUGCACUCGAUACUGCAGGGCUUGAGUGUCGGAGAGGUUGGUGGAAUUCUCGGUGUAGAGGUGAAAUUCGUAGAUAUUCGCAAGAACACCAGUGGCGAAGGCGGCUCACUGGCCCGGUACUGACGCUGAGACGCGAAAGCGUGGGGAGCAAACAGG